GGAAUAUUGGUCAAUGGACGAAAGUCUGAACCAGCCAAGUAGCGUGCAGGAUGACGGCCCUAUGGGUUGUAAACUGCUUUUAUACAGGGAUAAAGUCAGUUACGUGUAACUGUUUGUAGGUACUGUAUGAAUAAGGACCGGCUAAUUCCGUGCCAGCAGCCGCGGUAAUACGGAAGGUCCGGGCGUUAUCCGGAUUUAUUGGGUUUAAAGGGAGCGCAGGCUGAUGAUUAAGCGUGACGUGAAAUGUAGCCGCUCAACGGCUGAACUGCGUCGCGAACUGGUUUUCUUGAGUGAGUACGACGUCAGCGGAAUUUGUGGUGUAGCGGUGAAAUGCUUAGAUAUCACGAAGAACUCCGAUUGCGAAGGCAGCCGGCGAGUCCUCAACUGACGCUAAUGCUCGAAAGUGCGGGUAUCGAACA
Molecule: ribosomal RNA, 419 nt
Filed under: uncultured Prevotella sp.
Lineage: Bacteria; Pseudomonadati; Bacteroidota; Bacteroidia; Bacteroidales; Prevotellaceae
Description: bacterial SSU rRNA
Rfam family: Bacterial small subunit ribosomal RNA
Source: RNAcentral